UGAGUUUAGGGGGCACGUUAGGCUGCCGAAGGUCUUUGACCAGGCCACCUAUAAAGGGCCCUCAGAUCGGAAAUGGGUGAGUUUUCUCCCCAUUCUCGAGCUCAGGUGAGUUUAUGCCUUCCUUUGGUCGUUUUCGUGUUUUCUCUACCCAUCUCUCAAGUUUUUCAUGAUUUCUACCCUUGUGUUUGAAGAUUUAAAGCUUAAAAGGAG
RNAcentral lists this long non-coding RNA (210 nucleotides) under Manihot esculenta (cassava). Its description in RNAcentral is "long non-coding RNA (MESC_LNC003911)". The record is from RNAcentral. Lineage: Eukaryota; Viridiplantae; Streptophyta; Magnoliopsida; Malpighiales; Euphorbiaceae.